AUUUUUUUAGAAAAAAGGUUGCCUUAGGUUAAAACUUCUGAUUUCUGAUAACAGGAUUACAACAUAAGAAAGACACUUGAUCAUAAAACUAGCUAUUAGCCACAUCCAAGCAGCUUUGACUCCUUUUGUUUACUAUUUACAGCUCAGUGGGACACCUAAUCUACCAUCAAUUUCCAUUGAUAUAAGGCCUAGGGGUCAAAUCACCCUCUGAUGCUGUAAGCUGCCAAUUGCUGUAACCCAGAGUUGCAUUACUACUACUGGGUUGGUAUUGGUCCCCCAUCCCAAUAUUAAAUCUAUGAUCAGAUGAGUACCCAAUAUGGUGAUGAAAGUGUUUUGCUUGAGGGUGGUGAUUGGGGUACUCGUCCAGUAGCUCACCUUGAGUGAGCAAAGCAAUCUCACUUGAAACUCCAACAACCUCUUGUAAUGAGCUCCAAUUUGCAUAUGCUUGUCUCAUCACAUUCUGAAUGUAACCCCCAUAAAUUGGUGGAAGAUCCGAAGUAGAGUAUGUUUGUCCAUUAAUAGUGGCACUAACAACUUCGCAUAUGGGGUUUACUGUGACAAUCAAAUUCUCUCCUUGAAAAAUGUAAUGUUUGUUUCCCAGCUCACAUGUUAUCGCGUGCUUUAUUGUUACUUCCCAUAUUUUCUCGGACAUCCCAGGACCUAAAAUCCUUCUAAGCUUUUGUUGGUCGACAGUGGACAACUUCAAGAAUUCUUGAACAGUAUUAAUGCCCUCAGCAGCUAGCUUUCUGUGGAAAGCUCCAUCUUUCCCAAUCUUCUCAAGACGCCAUACUUCAUCAUUCAACCUUGGUGGGUGAUGCUUCUUGUACAAUUCUCCUCGAUGAUCCUUGACAACAAAAGGUUCAGUCAUUGCUUCACGAAUCCGAGCACCGUGGAAGCUCCCCGGAACCACUCUUGCACCAAGCCUAAAUUUCCUGCUUCUAAUCCAGCUUGAAUUAUCGGUGAACUCAAUCUCUCCGAGUGCUGCAAUUCCAUCUCUUAAAGUGACCGUCAAGCAAUCUCCUGCAAGCAAAGGCCGCUUGCCCGUUCUCUCCUUCAAUAUAUUGUUGUCAAACUCUUCACUACUCCAAGUAUUCCGAUCAUCAGAAGGGAAAUCUCCAUCAAGAGCGAGGAUUUCUAUUUUGAUUGGGUGAGGGAGAGAUGUUGGACACAUCGGAUCACCUCUUGUAUCUACUAAAAGGAUUUGAAGGGGUGAAUUAUCUAUAUCAACGAUUUUGCUCCCAGUAAAUAUUGGGAGCAAAAGAUCCUUUCUAAACUUUAGUUGCAGGCUAGAUGGUGAUGGCUCAGGUGCCUGGAUUCGCAAUGAAGGAGAUCGAGUGAAAGGGCGUGAUGAUGAACAUCGUUUCAGACUAUUCUCCACUUCUUCAUUAACCACUCUCCUGAGCAUUGGCUCUAUGACCUUACAGAAGUUCUGUAAAGAAUUCACCUUAACCGCUUUUGUAAUUACUGAAGCAAAAGAAGGUGUAGUUCUCAUUCGUUUCUCAUUUGGGUGAUCUGGGUCGCUACUUGAUUCACCAAACAAUCGUUUCGCUGCCAUAUUUAGAACCAAGAAAUUCAGAGGGAUGAUGAUGGGAAGUUGC
RNAcentral lists this unclassified non-coding RNA (1598 nucleotides) under Hevea brasiliensis (rubber tree). The record is from RNAcentral. Lineage: Eukaryota; Viridiplantae; Streptophyta; Magnoliopsida; Malpighiales; Euphorbiaceae.